AGUGUAGGCGGCUUCGUAAGUCGGAUGUGAAAGCCCCGGGCUUAACCUGGGAAUUGCAUUCGAUACUGCGCGGCUAGAGUUUGAUAGAGGAAAGUGGAAUUCCAGGUGUAGCGGUGAAAUGCGUAGAUGUCUGGAGGAACACCAGUGGCGAAGGCGGCUUUCUGGAUCAAAACUGACGCUGAGGCUCGAAAGCGUGGGGAGCAAACAGGAUUAGAUACCCUGGUAGUC
This 228-nucleotide ribosomal RNA is filed under the name uncultured bacterium. RNAcentral's name for it is "partial 16S ribosomal RNA". It matches the Rfam family "Bacterial small subunit ribosomal RNA", at positions 568 to 795 of the family's 1533-position model. The record is from RNAcentral.